ACCUCUCUGUCACCAACCUUUUCCAUCUAGUUUAUUUACUUAUUACUUUCUUGCUUUGUAUUUGAGCAGCUGAAUUUUCCUCCACUGCCAUCGAAGUGAGGAGGAGGAGAAAUUACUCACUUUAGAGUAUAACCUUUACCACAGUACUGGAGACUAAUCUCUUCUAAUGUUUCUUCUAAUUUCCUGUUGCCUCCCAAACAUGGCUGAGUCUCAGCUAGGAAACAAUGCAUCUGAAGGUGAAGUAUGCCACCUACUGGCUGACUGCCUCACCAGCACUGGCCACCAGGUUCUAGAUGCCAACCAGACUUCCAUGAUGCCAACCAGACUUCCGUGGACAGACAACCCCAACAAUGUGUCCUGGAGUUCCGAUUCCCCAGAACUCUGACCUACCAGGGAAAGAGAGAGGAAGGCUGGGAGUAUGGAUCCACCUGUCAACACCCAUGUUCAGCAGGGAAGCAAUUAUAGAAGCCAGACCUUCCACCUUCUGCAUCCCACAAUAACUCUGGGUCCAUACUCCCAGAGGGUUAAAGAAUAGGAAAGCUAUCAGGGGAGGGGAUGGGAUAUGGAGUUUUGGUGGUGGGAAUUGUGAAUUGUGUAGAAUUGUACCCCUCUUAUCCUAUGGUUUUAUGUUUCCUUUUUAUAAAUAAAAUAAGUAUAUAUAUUAUAUAUAUACACACACAUAUAUAUAAGAUUAUGUAUAACUAUAUAGAUCUAUUCUUCUAAUAUAAUGACAUCUUUACAAAUAUUAUAGUUUCUUUCUUUUUUUUCCCUACUACUCAGCUCCAUCUUCACACUUCCGUUCAAGUGUCUUCUCAGUCUGAUUUUGCCUAAAGGCCUUUUUUUAAAAAAAAUUCUUUAUUAGGGAAUUAAUGGUUUACAGUUGACAGUAAAAUAUAAUAGUUUGUACAUGUGUAACAUUUCCACAUAACAAUACAACCCCCACUAGGUCCUUCUCAGCCAUCAUGUUCCAGGACCUGAACCCUAACCCUAACCCUAGUCUUUUACUUUGGUGCAAUACAGCAACAAAUAUUACUGUUUCUAGUUAAACUCAGCCAAAUAAUAAAUCCUGUGACUGAGCUAUCAAUCUACAGUAAGAGUCACAUUUUUGUUCAUUUCAACUCCACAAAUUAAAAAAAAAAAAAAAACGGUAUAAAAACUAUCUAACAUGUAAAAUUUGAAAUGGCAUGAAUUGCUCAAAUUUUAAAUACUCACCAAGAAAUAUUAUUUAUAAACUAUCUUCAUUCUCCUGCCUUAUGAGUUAAUAGAUAAAAACACAAGCAAUCUCUUCUCAACUAUCCUAGGAAUUACCAGUCUUUAAAAUACAAGUAGAUUUGCUGUUAUUUCAUGUACCCAUUAUUACUUCUAAAUUAUUUUAUAGCCUGUAAUGAUGUCAUACAAGCCUUCAUUAAGUGGCAGUAAUAAAACUAGUACUUAAAAAGUUGACCUUAAAUCAGUAAUUAUGAAACAAAGGUUAAAUGUAAUAAAAUCCCUUGAAAAAAAUCAAAUGGCUUCCCUGGUACACUGUAGCAUUCAUUUAGAUUAAAGAAAUCUAAAGAAUAUUAGAAGUAAUAUUUAGAAAUAAAAUGGAUACUUACAACAAAAAUAUGGUACAAUGAGGGUGGAUGUAUGCCCUCUGAGAAUACAUAUGACCUCCUCAUUUUAUAUUUAUUCUUGUGAAAAGACAUUCCUGAAUUAAGUAUA
Erinaceus europaeus (western European hedgehog) is the source of this 1701-nucleotide long non-coding RNA. RefSeq lists it as uncharacterized. The record is from RefSeq and is a predicted model, not a curated record. The transcript has 3 exons. Lineage: Eukaryota; Metazoa; Chordata; Mammalia; Eulipotyphla; Erinaceidae.